AAGCUAUUAAAUUAAAAUUUAUUUAAUUUGUACAAUUAUGUUCUGUUGAAUGUAAUUUUGAUGUAAUUGCGACUAUGUCGAAGUUUGGAUAAUGGCUAAUAAUGCAUCUGAUGAGUUGCUUUCCGUAUAGUUUGGGAUUUGGUGUGAGAGAGGUAGGUGGGGUUGCAAUUCUAUGGUUGGUGUGGACCGGAUCGGAAAGCUUAGUUCAAACUAAACCUAACAUUUUGCUUGGUCAAGUAGUAUUUGCUCAACCCUUUGACCCAACCUGAUGCGUUCGCUCAAACCUACUGUGACCUAACAUGUUGCCAAUUUUUUUUGUUUUGGAUCAUGUUGGUUUGGUUAAGGUUGGUGAGAAAUGCGAGGUUGGUGAAGUAUAUUUGAUGAAGUAAAGCUGUUUGGCGAAAUGCCACAAAGAUAAUGCGUAAAAGCAUGUACUUAUGUAGGCAUCUCAAUGCGUAAAAGCAUGUGUACUUAUGUAGGCGUCUCUUUUCACUAGGGCUAGAAAAUUAUGAACUUAUGACCCUAUGUAACUAUUUUGUUUUGGAUCAUGUUGGUUUGGUUAAGGUUGGUGAGAAAUGCGAGGUUGGUGAAGUAUAUUUGAUGAAGUAAAGCUGUUUGGCGAAAUGCCACAAAGAUAAUGCGUAAAAGCAUGUACUUAUGUAGGCAUCUCAAUGCGUAAAAGCAUGAAGAGAUGUGCGGUUAGGAUGAUAGUGGUCCUCUAGACUUGAAUGGGUAGUUGGUUGAAUAGUAUGAUCUAACAGGUAAAAAUGGUUAAAAGGAUAGAUCUAAUGGUGAAAAACUCGAUAGUACCAAACACUUAGUUUAUCAAUAGUAUAGUAGCUGGACUCUUAAUUAGUAGUUGGAGAUAGUUAAUAGUUA
RNAcentral lists this long non-coding RNA (879 nucleotides) under Ananas comosus (pineapple). RNAcentral describes it as "long non-coding RNA (ACOM_LNC034295)". The record is from RNAcentral. Lineage: Eukaryota; Viridiplantae; Streptophyta; Magnoliopsida; Poales; Bromeliaceae.